Molecule: long non-coding RNA, 841 nt
Filed under: Sorghum bicolor (sorghum)
Lineage: Eukaryota; Viridiplantae; Streptophyta; Magnoliopsida; Poales; Poaceae
Description: long non-coding RNA (SBIC_LNC017242)
Source: RNAcentral
AUACAUAUAUAUCAUGGAUUUGCAGAAUAUUGUCUCCGACAUGAUAAAUUAAAAAGAUUAAAAUGUUUCUAAUCAUGAUUAAUCUCACUCUGUGAUAUUUCCUGAAAACUUGCAAUUAUUAAAAGUCAUUUAAAACCCCUCUGUUACUUAAGUCACUAUGGAAUAUGAAAUGGUAGAGUAUGAGUAUCUUAUUCUUGAUAUCGUUGUUGCUUGGAGAAUUUAUUUCAAAAUCUUCAAAAAUUCUAGCUACCAUCCUCAGUAUUUUAUAUGCCUGAUAAACCUAAAAAUAUUAACUAUGAUAAUUAUAAAAGCUAUCUGCUCUGUAUUGAGUUUGUUCAAAAUGAGUUAGACCCUUGUUGAGAGAUUUAUCAUGCUCCUAAGAUCAAGACAUUUAUUCAGAAAGAUUCACUCUUCCGAAGUAUUAUUGCGUUAGAGGCAUGGGCUAUGCAAAAAUAUGAAUAUUUCAAGGAAAUAAAAUGGAGCAAGUGCUCGACAACCUCGCAGAAAAAAUGGACAAGUGUCCGGCAGUAGAAUUAGGGGUACCUCGGUAUCCACCUGAAAAAAAUAGAAAAGAAAGAAAAUGAUAGCCCAUGGUCCCUGAAAUAAGCAAUAUGCUAGUAAGAGUUGAGAAGUUUUUAAUUUCCAAAGUUUUUGAUCUAAGAGUAUGACAUUCCUUUCCUCGGAUCCUGUUUUGAUCAGGCAAUAAAUGCAAGGUAAGUAUGCUAGAGAAUUUUUGCAAAUUAAAACAGCCUCAGUGAGAUAUAUAAAAGAUAAUUCAUGAUCUGACAGAACCUAUGAGGAUAAAGGUAUGCUAAAUUUCUUCUCAAAAAUAUACAAAAAC